GACGAACGCUGGCGGCGUGCUUAACACAUGCAAGUCGAACGGAAAGGCCCUGCUUUUGUGGGGUGCUCGAGUGGCGAACGGGUGAGUAACACAUGAGUAACCUGCCCUUGACUUUGGGAUAACUUCAGGAAACUGGGGCUAAUACCGGAUAGGAGCUCCUGCUGCAUGGUGGGGGUUGGAAAGUUUCGGCGGUUGGGGAUGGACUCGCGGCUUAUCAGCUUGUUGGUGGGGUAGUGGCUUACCAAGGCUUUGACGGGUAGCCGGCCUGAGAGGGUGACCGGCCACAUUGGGACUGAGAUACGGCCCAGACUCCUACGGGAGGCAGCAGUGGGGAAUAUUGCACAAUGGGCGGAAGCCUGAUGCAGCAACGCCGCGUGCGGGAUGACGGCCUUCGGGUUGUAAACCGCUAUCGCCUGUGACGAAGCGUGAGUGACGGUAAUGGGUAAAGAAGCACCGGCUAACUACGUG
RNAcentral lists this ribosomal RNA (468 nucleotides) under uncultured bacterium. RNAcentral describes it as "partial 16S ribosomal RNA". It matches the Rfam family "Bacterial small subunit ribosomal RNA", at positions 28 to 507 of the family's 1533-position model. The record is from RNAcentral.